AAAUUGAAGAGUUUGAUCAUGGCUCAGAUUGAACGCUGGCGGCAGGCCUAACACAUGCAAGUCGAACGGUAACAGAAAGCAGCUUGCUGCUUUGCUGACGAGUGGCGGACGGGUGAGUAAUGUCUGGGAAACUGCCUGAUGGAGGGGGAUAACUACUGGAAACGGUAGCUAAUACCGCAUAAUGUCGCAAGACCAAAGAGGGGGACCUUCGGGCCUCUUGCCAUCGGAUGUGCCCAGAUGGGAUUAGCUAGUAGGUGGGGUAACGGCUCACCUAGGCGACGAUCCCUAGCUGGUCUGAGAGGAUGACCAGCCACACUGGAACUGAGACACGGUCCAGACUCCUACGGGAGGCAGCAGUGGGGA
This 363-nucleotide ribosomal RNA is filed under the name Escherichia coli. Its description in RNAcentral is "bacterial SSU rRNA". It matches the Rfam family "Bacterial small subunit ribosomal RNA", at positions 1 to 360 of the family's 1533-position model. Lineage: Bacteria; Pseudomonadati; Pseudomonadota; Gammaproteobacteria; Enterobacterales; Enterobacteriaceae. The record is from RNAcentral.